GGUUUAAACAUUAAUACAUACAUUCCAUAUAGAUUUUUUCAACCCAAAAUAGGUAUCAUGCAUAUUAUUAAAGUUUAUCUUGAUAAAAAAAAUAAUCGAAUCUAUCUACAUAGAAGCGUGUUAUUCCUAUUCAUGUUAAUAAAUGACAUGCAUGUAAAUAGAUGUCAUGGAGAAAGCACCCUAACGACAAAAAAAAAACCCAAAAAACCCCAACCAAACGACAUCUAGAGGGCAUUUUCAAUCUUCAACAAUAGACCAAAAAAGAAGUACAGCCAAUCUUUUUGAGAGUAUUAUAAUUUGGACUCUCUAAAAUAUUUUGCAACAAAUUUCUGAGUUUUACACCUUGCGGGAAACAUAUACGCAAGACAUUGGCAUCAUGUUUUAUGUUGUGCUAUUACACAACUGUUCUAGGUUGAGUGCUCAAACACAUGUUUAACCCCGUCAUAUUCUUUAUGUGCCUGUAGUCUAGUGGUUGUCGUUGGUGUAUGUUUGUCAUAUGUGUUUUCAGAUUUUUUUUAUAAAUAAGACUCUCUUUUUCGCGUGCUAGCUCCGAAAUUUUCUAAUUUGAUUUGUUUACAUUAUUCACGUCAUACCACAUCUCCUUAUUUUCAUGUAAUCUCUAAAAUUAAAACAAAAGUGAUAUCACAACCUAUUUACAUAUUUAGUCUAGUUUGUUAUAAAUAUAUAAAAAAAAACAUUUUUGUUUGAAUAGAUCCUAUUUGUCACACAUAAUUUGUUUAAAGGUCUAAAAAUUUCGGCUACUGUCAGUUCUGGUCAAUUUUGUAUUAUGUGUCCAAAACGGACGUUGAUUAGAGAAAGGCUAGAAAUUGGACGUCGAUUAGAGAACCCCACAAAUAGACGUCGAUCAGAUAGGAAUAAAAUUGGACACCGAUUUGGAAAGAUAUUUUAUUGUGACGUCAGAUUUGGACGUCGAUUUGGAGGAACGGAC
RNAcentral lists this long non-coding RNA (949 nucleotides) under Mytilus galloprovincialis (Mediterranean mussel). Lineage: Eukaryota; Metazoa; Mollusca; Bivalvia; Mytilida; Mytilidae. The record is from RNAcentral.